CCUGAAAGCACGUAAGUUGGCAAGGUUUUGGUGU
RNAcentral lists this small RNA (34 nucleotides) under Bombyx mori (domestic silkworm). RNAcentral describes it as "ovarian small RNA-14003". The record is from RNAcentral. Lineage: Eukaryota; Metazoa; Arthropoda; Insecta; Lepidoptera; Bombycidae.